AUGCACGCUGGCGGCGUGCCUCAUACCUGCCAGUCGAGCGAACAGACGAGGAGCUUGCUCCUCUGACGUUAGCGGCGGACGGGUGAGUAACACGUGGAUAACCUACCUGUAAGACUGGGAUAACUUCGGGAAACCGGAGCUAAUACCGGAUAAUAUAUUGAACCGCAUGGUUCAAUAGUGAAAGACGGUUUUGCUGUCACUUAUAGAUGGAUCCGCGCCGCAUUAGCUAGUUGGUAAGGUAACGGCUUACCAAGGCAACGAUGCGUAGCCGACCUGAGAGGGUGAUCGGCCACACUGGAACUGAGACACGGUCCAGACUCCUACGGGAGGCAGCAGUAGGGAAUCUUCCGCAAUGGGCGAAAGCCUGACGGAGCAACGCCGCGUGAGUGAUGAAGGUCUUCGGAUCGUAAAACUCUGUUAUUAGGGAAGAACAAAUGUGUAAGUAACUAUGCACGUCUUGACGGUACCUAAUCAGAAAGCCACGGCUAACUACGUG
Molecule: ribosomal RNA, 496 nt
Filed under: uncultured bacterium
Lineage: Bacteria
Description: partial 16S ribosomal RNA
Rfam family: Bacterial small subunit ribosomal RNA
Source: RNAcentral